Molecule: long non-coding RNA, 528 nt
Filed under: Lynx pardinus (Iberian lynx)
Lineage: Eukaryota; Metazoa; Chordata; Mammalia; Carnivora; Felidae
Source: RNAcentral
UUAUUUUUCUUUUAGAUGCCUUUCCAGUGGAGCUAACAACCACAACAAAACACAAAGAAACAAAAAAGCAAAAACAAAACGAAAACACCAAAAACAAAAAACAAAACCAAACCAAAAAAACCAACAAAACAAAAUACGACAUUCUCCAACAUACUAACAGCCGUCUCCAAGAUCAGAAAGCAUCAGAAAAGACCCUAAAGAGUUGUGUAAUCCCAGAGGAAGUAUCUUGCUUAGAUGGAGAAACGCUUGCAGCAGAAACCCGGGAAAUUUCAGGGAGUGGAAUUUUAUUGUCAGAACUUUCAAUGCAAGUGCAGCCACAGAUCCUGGGAGCGUUAAAUAAAAAUUACCAACAAGCUGUCUUACCUGCGUGCACUCCAUUGAAAGGAAGGGCAAACGUGAGCUAGUUGCGCUUGUACAUCAGUCAAAACUCUGACAGCUACCCUGUGAAGUUUGACGAGCUGCCAUGUGCUCGACUACCUAAGAUACUCUUAACUGAACCAUAAAAAGACAAAUAAAUUAGUAAUUGCA